Long non-coding RNA from Homo sapiens (human), 273 nucleotides. Lineage: Eukaryota; Metazoa; Chordata; Mammalia; Primates; Hominidae. The record is from Ensembl.
CUUGUAAAAGCCGAAACCCUUUCCUUGGGAUGCAGCAGCCUUAUCACAUGACCUCGGCUGGCCUAGCAGAGCAGACCUGCCCAAAACUGUGUAAAUACUGCUGGACUGGAUGGAACACAGGAUGUAUUAGAAUAUUUUUCCUGUAUUUAAAUGUACACAAGAAAGGAAGACAUGCUCAUGGAUUGACACAUCUUGAGAAAGACUUGGGAGAAAAAGACAAAACAAAUGUGUCAAAAAGAGAGAAUGUAAUACACAACCUUGCUUCAUUUGAAA